RNAcentral lists this ribosomal RNA (769 nucleotides) under uncultured bacterium. RNAcentral's name for it is "bacterial SSU rRNA". It matches the Rfam family "Bacterial small subunit ribosomal RNA", at positions 8 to 796 of the family's 1533-position model. The record is from RNAcentral.
AGAGUUUGAUCAUGGCUCAGAAUGAACGUUGGCGGCGUGGAUUAGGCAUGCAAGUCGAGCGGGUAUAGCAAUAUAUCAGCGGCGAAAGGGAGAGUAACGCGUAGUUACGUGCCCCAGGGUUCGGAAUAGCCACGGGAAACUGUGGGUAAUGCCGAAUAACAUCUCCGGAUUAAAGGUGUGAUUCCGCCCUGGGAGCGGACUGCGUCCUACUAGCUAGUUGGCGGGGUAAUGGCCCACCAAGGCGACGAUGGGUAGCGGGUGUGAGAGCAUGACCCGUCUCACUGGGACUGAGACACUGCCCAGACACCUACGGGUGGCUGCAGUCGAGAAUCUUCGGCAAUGAGCGCAAGCUUGACCGAGCGACGCCGCGUGCGGGAUGAAGGCCUUCGGGUUGUAAACCGCUUUCGGUUGGGAGGAAAUCGCUAGGGGUUCUCCCCUAGUGUUGACCUAUCUUCGGAAGAAGGACGGGCUAAGUUCGUGCCAGCAGCCGCGGUAAUACGAACCGUCCAAACGUUAUUCGGAUUUAUUGGGCUUAAAGGGUACGUAGGCGGCGCUGUUAGUCGGGUGUGAAAUCCCUCGGCUCAACCGAGGAACUGCGCCCGAUACUGCAGUGCUUGAGGGAGACAGAGGUAAGCGGAACUGAUGGUGGAGCGGUGAAAUGCGUUGAUAUCAUCAGGAACACCAGUGGCGAAAGCGGCUUACUGGGUCUCUUCUGACGCUGAGGUACGAAAGCUAGGGGAGCGAACGGGAUUAGAUACCCUAGUAGUCC